This 500-nucleotide ribosomal RNA is filed under the name uncultured bacterium. Its description in RNAcentral is "partial 16S ribosomal RNA". It matches the Rfam family "Bacterial small subunit ribosomal RNA", at positions 30 to 523 of the family's 1533-position model. The record is from RNAcentral.
AUUGAACGCUGGCGGCAUGCCUUACACAUGCAAGUCGAACGGCAGCACGGAGCUUGCUCUGGUGGCGAGUGGCGAACGGGUGAGUAAAGUACCGGAACGUGCCCAGUCGUGGGGGAUAACGUAGCGAAAGUUACGCUAAUACCGCAUACGAUCUAUGGAUGAAAGCGGGGGAUCGCAAGACCUCGCGCGAUUGGAGCGGCCGGUAUCAGAUUAGGUAGUUGGUGGGGUAAAGGCUCACCAAGCCGACGAUCUGUAGCUGGUCUGAGAGGACGACCAGCCACACUGGGACUGAGACACGGCCCAGACUCCUACGGGAGGCAGCAGUGGGGAAUUUUGGACAAUGGGCGAAAGCCUGAUCCAGCCAUGCCGCGUGCAGGAUGAAGGCCUUCGGGUUGUAAACUGCUUUUGUACGGAACGAAAAGGUUUGGCCUAAUAAGCUGAGCUCAUGACGGUACCGUAAGAAUAAGCACCGGCUAACUACGUGCCAGCCGCCGCAGUAA